Molecule: ribosomal RNA, 466 nt
Filed under: Vreelandella stevensii
Lineage: Bacteria; Pseudomonadati; Pseudomonadota; Gammaproteobacteria; Oceanospirillales; Halomonadaceae
Description: partial 16S ribosomal RNA
Rfam family: Bacterial small subunit ribosomal RNA
Source: RNAcentral
CCUACGGGGUGCUGCAGUGGGGAAUAUUGGACAAUGGGCGAAAGCCUGAUCCAGCCAUGCCGCGUGUGUGAAGAAGGCCUUCGGGUUGUAAAGCACUUUCAGUGGGGAAGAAAGCCUUGGGGCUAAUACCCUCGAGGAAGGACAUCACCCACAGAAGAAGCACCGGCUAACUCCGUGCCAGCAGCCGCGGUAAUACGGAGGGUGCGAGCGUUAAUCGGAAUUACUGGGCGUAAAGCGCGCGUAGGCGGUCCGAUAAGCCGGUUGUGAAAGCCCCGGGCUCAACCUGGGAACGGCAUCCGGAACUGUCAGGCUAGAGUGCAGGAGAGGAAGGUAGAAUUCCCGGUGUAGCGGUGAAAUGCGUAGAGAUCGGGAGGAAUACCAGUGGCGAAGGCGGCUUUCUGGACUGACACUGACGCUGAGGUGCGAAAGCGUGGGUAGCAAACAGGAUUAGAUACCCCGGUUAGUC